This 715-nucleotide long non-coding RNA is filed under the name Homo sapiens (human). Its description in RNAcentral is "HSALNT0003605". The record is from RNAcentral. Lineage: Eukaryota; Metazoa; Chordata; Mammalia; Primates; Hominidae.
CGCGAGUCGGCGGGCUCCGGGUUCCGGCUCCCGCCAAGAGCUGUCUUUUGCAAACUAGCAAGUUCCUUCCACCUUAUGCAACCCAGCAACCCACUUCUCCAAGCCGUGCGACACUCACGGCGCAUCUCAGCGGCUUUCCUUCCUGCUCCCGCUGGGGGCCCCAGAAGAGGGGUUUGCGAGGCCUGGCUGCACUGCCCUGCUCCUCUGGAAGCAGGAGGAAGCGCGCGGCUGGAGGCACAGGCUGCAGUUCCCAGAGCCCAGGCUGACGCCAAAGUGGGAAAAAGGCGGGGAAACCAGCUUGGCGCAGCCGGACGUGCAUCCUUCCGAGCUGCCACUUCGGAGAAGCCUUUCGUGCACCUCACCUGAAAGACGGUCCCACUCGAGGUGGGCUAGGGGUUUCAGGGGGAGACUUUCCAUGCAGAGGUGCCUUUUGGGUGCCGUGGGUCAGACCCCGCCACAGUAUGGUGGAGAGCGGCCGUCGAGGUCUACCAGCACUCACUUCCCCCUACACUCUACCCCUCUCGGAGACAUUUUGCCCAGCUGCCCAACCCGACGCGGCCACCAAGCCUGGGCACUGCAGCCGCAGCUGGCGAAAUCCCUCCUUCCACACUGUCAAGCUGGCUGCCUUUCACUUGCGCGAGGAAAGGAGGGUGGAGGAAAGCGCCCGGGGAUUAGGAAACAAGUAGAGGAACAGUCCUGUUGUGUUACAGGGGAG